CAGUAGCCGCGGUAAUACGUAGGGUGCAAGCGUUAAUCGGAAUUACUGGGCGUAAAGCGUGCAUAGGCGGUUAUAUAAGUCAGAUGUGAAAUCCCCGGGCUCAACCUGGGAACUGCAUUUGAGACUGUAUGGCUAGAGUGUGUCAGAGGGGGGUAGAAUUCCACGUGUAGCAGUGAAAUGCGUAGAUAUGUGGAGGAAUACCGAUGGCGAAGGCAGCCCCCUGGGAUAACACUGACGCUCAUGCACGAAAGCGUGGGGAGCAAACAGGAUUAGAUACCCCUGUAGUCCCUGUCUCUUAUAC
This 301-nucleotide ribosomal RNA is filed under the name uncultured bacterium. RNAcentral describes it as "partial 16S ribosomal RNA". It matches the Rfam family "Bacterial small subunit ribosomal RNA", at positions 509 to 807 of the family's 1533-position model. The record is from RNAcentral.